This 450-nucleotide ribosomal RNA is filed under the name uncultured bacterium. RNAcentral describes it as "bacterial SSU rRNA". It matches the Rfam family "Bacterial small subunit ribosomal RNA", at positions 46 to 509 of the family's 1533-position model. The record is from RNAcentral.
GCCUAACACAUGCAAGUCGAACGGACUGAUUCGCUUCGGUGAUGAAAGUCAGUGGCGGACGGGUGAGUAACGCGUGAGUAACCUGCCUUUCAGAGGGGGGAUAACGUUUGGAAACGAACGCUAAUACCGCAUAACGUACAGUUGUCGCAUGGCAGCAGUACCAAAGGAGCAAUCCGCUGGAAGAUGGACUCGCGUCUGAUUAGAUAGUUGGCGGGGUAACGGCCCACCAAGUCGACGAUCAGUAGCCGGACUGAGAGGUUGAACGGCCACAUUGGGACUGAGACACGGCCCAGACUCCUACGGGAGGCAGCAGUGAGGGAUAUUGCACAAUGGGCGCAAGCCUGAUGCAGCAACGCCGCGUGAGGGAUGACGGUUUUCGGAUUGUAAACCUCUGUUCUUAGUGAUGAUAAUGACAUUAGCUGAGGAGAAAGCCACGGCUAACUACGUGCC